AACGAACGCUGGCGGCAGGCUUAACACAUGCAAGUCGAACGCCCCGCAAGGGGAGUGGCAGACGGGUGAGUAACGCGUGGGAACAUACCCAUCACUACGGAAUAACUCAGGGAAACUUGUGCUAAUACCGUAUACGACCGAGAGGUGAAAGAUUUAUCGGUGAUGGAUUGGCCCGCGUUGGAUUAGCUAGUUGGUGGGGUAAAGGCCUACCAAGGCGACGAUCCAUAGCUGGUCUGAGAGGAUGAUCAGCCACAUUGGGACUGAGACACGGCCCAAACUCCUACGGGAGGCAGCAGUGGGGAAUAUUGGACAAUGGGCGCAAGCCUGAUCCAGCCAUGCCGCGUGAGUGAUGAAGGCCUUAGGGUUGUAAAGCUCUUUCACCGGAGAAGAUAAUGACGGUAUCCGGAGAAGAAGCCCCGGCUAACUUCGUGCCAGCAGCCGCGGUAA
Molecule: ribosomal RNA, 447 nt
Filed under: uncultured bacterium
Lineage: Bacteria
Description: partial 16S ribosomal RNA
Rfam family: Bacterial small subunit ribosomal RNA
Source: RNAcentral